RNAcentral lists this ribosomal RNA (688 nucleotides) under uncultured bacterium. RNAcentral's name for it is "bacterial SSU rRNA". It matches the Rfam family "Bacterial small subunit ribosomal RNA", at positions 61 to 760 of the family's 1533-position model. The record is from RNAcentral.
GUCGAGCGAACCACUCUCGGUGGGAAGCGGCGAACGGGUGAGUAACACUUAGGUGAUCUGCCCAUCAGACGGGGACAACGAUUGGAAACGAUCGCUAAUACCGGAUAGGACGAAAGUUUAAAGAUGCUCCUGGCAUCACUGAUGGAUGAGCCUGCGGCGCAUUAGCUAGUUGGUGGGGUAAAGGCCUACCAAGGCGACGAUGCGUAGCCGACCUGAGAGGGUGAACGGCCACACUGGGACUGAGACACGGCCCAGACUCCUACGGGAGGCAGCAGUAGGGAAUCUUCGGCAAUGGGCGAAAGCCUGACCGAGCAACGCCGCGUGAAUGAAGAAGGCCUUCGGGUUGUAAAAUUCUGUUAUAAGGGAAGAAAGGUGAUAGGAGGAAAUGACUAUCAAUUGACGGUACCUUAUGAGAAAGCCACGGCUAACUACGUGCCAGCAGCCGCGGUAAUACGUAGGUGGCAAGCGUUAUCCGGAAUUAUUGGGCGUAAAGAGCGCGCAGGUGGUUAAUUAAGUCUGAUGUGAAAGCCCACGGCUUAACCGUGGAGGGUCAUUGGAAACUGGUUGACUUGAGUGCAGAAGAGGAAAGUGGAAUUCCUAGUGUAGCGGUGAAAUGCGUAGAUAUUAGGAGGAACACCAGUGGCGAAGGCGACUUUCUGGACUGUAACUGACGUUGAGGCACGAAAGU